UACUUGUACCGACUGGAUGAGCAGCGAACGGGUGAGUAACGCGUGGGGAAUCUGCCUUUGAGCGGGGGACAACAUUUGGAAACGAAUGCUAAUACCGCAUAAAAACUUUAAACACAAGUUUUAAGUUUGAAAGAUGCAAUUGCAUCACUCAAAGAUGAUCCCGCGUUGUAUUAGCUAGUUGGUGAGGUAAAGGCUCACCAAGGCGAUGAUACAUAGCCGACCUGAGAGGGUGAUCGGCCACAUUGGGACUGAGACACGGCCCAAACUCCUACGGGAGGCAGCAGUAGGGAAUCUUCGGCAAUGGACGAAAGUCUGACCGAGCAACGCCGCGUGAGUGAAGAAGGUUUUCGGAUCGUAAAACUCUGUUGGUAGAGAAGAACGUUGGUGAGAGUGGAAAGCUCAUCAAGUGACGGUAACUACCCAGAAAGGGACGGCUAACUACGUGCCAGCAGCCGCGGUAAUACGUAGGUCCCGAGCGUUGUCCGGAUUUAUUGGGCGUAAAGCGAGCGCAGGUGGUUUAUUAAGUCUGGUGUAAAAGGCAGUGGCUCAACCAUUGUAUGCAUUGGAAACUGGUAGACUUGAGUGCAGGAGAGGAGAGUGGAAUGUCCAUGGGGGGGGCGGGGGG
This 625-nucleotide ribosomal RNA is filed under the name Lactococcus lactis. RNAcentral's name for it is "bacterial SSU rRNA". It matches the Rfam family "Bacterial small subunit ribosomal RNA", at positions 77 to 685 of the family's 1533-position model. The record is from RNAcentral. Lineage: Bacteria; Bacillati; Bacillota; Bacilli; Lactobacillales; Streptococcaceae.